RNAcentral lists this ribosomal RNA (230 nucleotides) under uncultured bacterium. RNAcentral's name for it is "partial 16S ribosomal RNA". It matches the Rfam family "Bacterial small subunit ribosomal RNA", at positions 118 to 346 of the family's 1533-position model. The record is from RNAcentral.
UGAGGAACAUGACCUUCGGCGGGGGAUAGCCGGCCCAACGGCCGGGUAAUACCGCGUACGACCACAUGGGGACAUCCCUGAGUGGUGAAAGCAGCAAUGCGCCGAUGGAGUGCCUCGCGGCCUAUCAGCUAGUUGGUGAGGUAACGGCUCACCAAGGCGACGACGGGUANCUGGUCUGAGAGGAUGGCCAGCCACAUUGGGACUGAGACACGGCCCAGACCUNUACGGGA